UCGAGAAUUUUUCACAAUGGGCGCAAGCCUGAUGGAGCGACGCCGCGUGGGGGAUGAAGGGUUUCGAUCCGUAAACCCCUGUCAUUUGCGAACAAACCUUGAUUGUGAAUAGCGAUCGAGGUGAUUGUAGCGGAAGAGGAAGGGACGGCUAACUCUGUGCCAGCAGCCGCGGUAAUACAGAGGUCCCAAGCGUUGUUCGGAUUCACUGGGCGUAAAGGGUGCGUAGGUGGUCGGUGAAGUUCGGUGUGAAAGCUCGGAGCUCAACUCCGAAACGGCAUUGAAAACUCAUCGGCUGGAGGGUCGGAGGGGAGACUGAAUUCUCGGUGUAGCAGUGAAGUGCGUAGAUAUCGAGAGGAACACCAGUGGCGAAGGCGAGUCUCUGGACGACUCCUGACACUGAGGCACGAAAGCCAGGGGAGCAAACAG
Molecule: ribosomal RNA, 426 nt
Filed under: uncultured bacterium
Lineage: Bacteria
Description: bacterial SSU rRNA
Rfam family: Bacterial small subunit ribosomal RNA
Source: RNAcentral